This 435-nucleotide ribosomal RNA is filed under the name uncultured bacterium. RNAcentral describes it as "partial 16S ribosomal RNA". It matches the Rfam family "Bacterial small subunit ribosomal RNA", at positions 29 to 507 of the family's 1533-position model. The record is from RNAcentral.
AGCGAACGCUGGCGGCAGGCUUAACACAUGCAAGUCGAGCGGGCACUUUCGGGUGUCAGCGGCGGACGGGUGAGUAACGCGUGGGAACGUGCCCUCUGGUUCGGAAUAACUCAGGGAAACUUGAGCUAAUACCGGAUACGCCCUUUUGGGGAAAGGCUUGCUGCCGGAGGAUCGGCCCGCGUCUGAUUAGCUAGUUGGUGAGGUAACGGCUCACCAAGGCGACGAUCAGUAGCUGGUCUGAGAGGAUGAUCAGCCACACUGGGACUGAGACACGGCCCAGACUCCUACGGGAGGCAGCAGUGGGGAAUAUUGGACAAUGGGCGCAAGCCUGAACCAGCCAUGCCGCGUGAGUGAUGAAGGCCUUAGGGUUGUAAAGCUCUUUUAUCCGGGACGAUAAUGACGGUACCGGAGGAAUAAGCCCCGGCUAACUUCGUG